RNAcentral lists this ribosomal RNA (440 nucleotides) under uncultured bacterium. RNAcentral's name for it is "partial 16S ribosomal RNA". It matches the Rfam family "Bacterial small subunit ribosomal RNA", at positions 338 to 795 of the family's 1533-position model. The record is from RNAcentral.
CCUACGGGUGGCAGCAGUGGGGGAUAUUGCACAAUGGGGGGAACCCUGAUGCAGCGACGCCGCGUGGGUGAAGAAGCGCCUCGGCGCGUAAAGCCCUGUCAGCAGGGAAGAAAAUGACAGUACUUGAAGAAUAAGCCCCGGCUAACUACGUGCCAGCAGCCGCGGUAAUACGUAGGGGGCAAGCGUUAUCCGGAUUUACUGGGUGUAAAGGGGGCGCAGGUGGCGGUGCAAGCCAGGAGUGAAAGCCCGGGGCCCAACCCCGGGACUGCUCGUGGUACUGCGUGGCUGGAGUGCAGGAGGGGGAGGUGGAAUUCCAGGUGUAGCGGUGAAAUGCGUAGAGAUCAGGAGGAACACCGGUGGCGAAGGCGGCCUGCUGGACUGCAACUGACGUUGAGGCCCGAAAGCGUGGGGAGCAAACAGGAUUAGAUACCCUAGUAGUC